This 468-nucleotide ribosomal RNA is filed under the name uncultured bacterium. RNAcentral's name for it is "partial 16S ribosomal RNA". It matches the Rfam family "Bacterial small subunit ribosomal RNA", at positions 28 to 507 of the family's 1533-position model. The record is from RNAcentral.
GACGAACGCUGGCGGCGCGCCUAACACAUGCAAGUCGAACGGAGUCACGAGGAGCUUGCUUUUCUUGACUUAGUGGCGAACGGGUGAGUAACGCGUGAGUAACCUGCCCUGGAGUGGGGGACAACAGUUGGAAACGACUGCUAAUACCGCAUAAGCUCACGGAUCCGCAUGGAUCUGCGGGAAAAGGAUUUAUUCGCUUCAGGAUGGACUCGCGUCCAAUUAGCUAGUGGGUGAGGUAACGGCACAGCAAGGCGGCGAAUGGUAGCCGGACGGAGGGGUGGAACGGCCAGAUUGGGAAUGAGACACGGCCCAGACUCCUACGGGAGGCAGCAGUGGGGGAUAUUGCACAAUGGGGGAAACCCUGAUGCAGCGACGCCGCGUGGAGGAAGAAGGUGUUCGGAUUGUAAACUCCUGUCGGAAGGGACGAGAAUGACGGUACCUGACAAGAAAGCACCGGCUAACUACGUG